AAGGUUUUAAGUGAAUUUAACCAUGCAAUUGGCAUUGUUCACGUGGGAUUACUCCAUGCACCACCACUUUUCAUUUUUUUGCCAAAACACCUUAUCUCACUUAAUUUCAACUAAACAUGUUUAAUUUUGAUUAAGAGUGGAUUAGCACAUCAUAUAUAUACAUAAUCAUAACAGAAUUUUCACUUCUUCACCAUUUCUAGAUCUAGAACUUUUUCCCUCCAUUUUUUUUC
Molecule: long non-coding RNA, 230 nt
Filed under: Lathyrus oleraceus (garden pea)
Lineage: Eukaryota; Viridiplantae; Streptophyta; Magnoliopsida; Fabales; Fabaceae
Description: Pisum sativum (pea) long non-coding RNA (PSAT_LNC022081)
Source: RNAcentral